This 243-nucleotide long non-coding RNA is filed under the name Panax ginseng (ginseng). RNAcentral describes it as "long non-coding RNA (PGIN_LNC006189)". Lineage: Eukaryota; Viridiplantae; Streptophyta; Magnoliopsida; Apiales; Araliaceae. The record is from RNAcentral.
UCUCCAGGACUUCGAAAGGGUACUUUUGGAACACCAAUAGGCAUGAAAAAAAAGAAAAAAGAAUUAAGUACUAUAUUUCACUUUGAUGUGGAAACGUAACAAUGGGUUUAUUAUCUUUAUAAUAUUGUCCUUUAUCAUAUUUUAUACAUAGAUUAGAAAUACAGAAUAAAUAAGGGAAAAUUCUUAUGAAUAGGCCCAAAAAAAUUUCGGAUUGCCUAGUAUUCCACCAAUUAGUAACCCAAG